RNAcentral lists this ribosomal RNA (253 nucleotides) under uncultured bacterium. RNAcentral's name for it is "partial 16S ribosomal RNA". It matches the Rfam family "Bacterial small subunit ribosomal RNA", at positions 524 to 776 of the family's 1533-position model. The record is from RNAcentral.
UACAGGGGGGGCAAGCGUUGUUCGGAAUUACUGGGCGUAAAGGGCUCGUAGGCGGCCAACUAAGUCACACGUGAAAUCCCCAGGCUUAACCUGGGAACUGCGUGUGAUACUGGAUGGCUUGAAUCCGGGAGAGGGAUGCGGGAUUCCAGGUGUAGCGGUGAAAUGCGUAGAUAUCUGGAGGAACACCGGUGGCGAAGGCGGCAUCCUGGACCGGUAUUGACGCUGAUGAGCGAAAGCCAGGGGAGCAAACGGG